Molecule: long non-coding RNA, 1203 nt
Organism: Rhagoletis zephyria (snowberry fruit fly)
Lineage: Eukaryota; Metazoa; Arthropoda; Insecta; Diptera; Tephritidae
Source: RefSeq, a predicted model, not a curated record
CAGCAGGCAUGUUGACAGCAUAAAGUGUCGUCGCGUACACGAUCCCAUGACAUAAUUAUUCCAUUAAAAAUUUGGGGACAGAAAAUAUACAAAGUGGACUAGCUGCGUAAAAAGCAGUCCACUAUUUAUCCAGAGGAUGAAGAAAUGUUGCAAAUGCUGCAGCUUCCGUUACGUAUGUAUGUAUGUAGUAUGUAGUUGCCGCGUUUAUUUAUUAUGCCCCAACCAACAAAACGAGUACACAUAAAUAAUUGCGGGGGGUAAAAUCGUAUGACUCAAAGUUCCAAGAACGCACAAAAUCGCACUGUGGCAAUUUGAAAGGACUGGGGGUAAGUGAGUGACUGACUGAGUAAUUGCAUCCAAUAGUAGCCAAGCUAAAAAGCACACAAAGGAGUUGACGAGUUGCAAGUUACUUAGCACGCUGGCAUUUCCGGCUAACAAUUGUACUUAUUGUCCAAAAGUAGUUGCUGCUGCUGCAGCUUGCGGACGAGAGUCAGAAGUUUUUACAAUGUCUGCCUUUUUUUUAUUUUUGUUAUUUGCUUAAUUUUACUGCUACAAAGUGUUGUGGUGCGACCUGAAGUGGCUUUGCAUUGAAGUAGAGAUGUUGUUGUGGUCUUGUGGUGGCACAAAUGUUAAACAAGAAAAAUUAAAUAAACCGACUUGAGAAAACUGUGCAAAUUCGUUGAACAACUUUGCGGGCACACAAUUGCGACAAAACACUUUUGGCUAAAAACUUUCGUUGGUUUUGAAGUUUACAAGCAAAUGCGUAGAUCAGUUACAGCUUGACGUUUUUUUUUUUGUUUUUAUUGAAUUUUAGUUAAUUAUUUUGUUGCACUCGAAUCUGCUGCACUACAAACACACGUUCAAUAGGCUAUUUUUUUAAUUUAUUAAUUUUCGUGCACUCAAUUGUUAUAAUUUAAUUUUCUUGUAUUUCCAGCGCAAUUCUUUCUCACAAAAUAGCUGCAGCUACUCGCUGCCCGUUACAUUUGAUCUCUCAAUUUUUAUUUUCAGGUAAUUUUUUUUUUUUUAUUUAUGUACUUUUAUUAUCUUUUGCACUGCGCCUUGCACUGUUCGAAAACCUGCUUUCUGCCUGCACACGCUUCCAAACACUUCUGCUGCCAACCAAACCGGAAAGGUGGUAUUCAUUCGUCUUGACCAGACAGCCAACAGCCAACAGCCAAGUAGAGAAUGCGAGUAAAGUGGAAA